This 497-nucleotide ribosomal RNA is filed under the name uncultured bacterium. RNAcentral's name for it is "partial 16S ribosomal RNA". It matches the Rfam family "Bacterial small subunit ribosomal RNA", at positions 28 to 507 of the family's 1533-position model. The record is from RNAcentral.
GAUGAACGCUGGCGGCGUGCCUAAUACAUGCAAGUCGAGCGAACAGACGAGGAGCUUGCUCCUUCGACGUUAGCGGCGGACGGGUGAGUAACACGUAGGUAACCUACCUAUAAGACUGGGAUAACUUCGGGAAACCGGAGCUAAUACCGGAUAAUAUUUCGAACCGCAUGGUUCGAUAGUGAAAGAUGGCUUUGCUAUCACUUAUAGAUGGACCUGCGCCGUAUUAGCUAGUUGGUAAGGUAACGGCUUACCAAGGCAACGAUACGUAGCCGACCUGAGAGGGUGAUCGGCCACACUGGAACUGAGACACGGUCCAGACUCCUACGGGAGGCAGCAGUAGGGAAUCUUCCGCAAUGGGCGAAAGCCUGACGGAGCAACGCCGCGUGAGUGAUGAAGGUCUUCGGAUCGUAAAACUCUGUUAUUAGGGAAGAACAAACGUGUAAGUAACUGUGCACGUCUUGACGGUACCUAAUUAGAAAGCCACGGCUAACUACGUG